CUGAAAAAAGUGAUUUUGGAGAGCGGUAAAUAUAAUCUGUGGAAACCAUAUAAAAUUUACUUGAUUAUUGCAGCCAGCCAAGGAAUUCAAAAGUAAUGGGUAAAUUCUACAUAUGCUACCCAUUCGUCAACAGUAACAACCAUCACAUAGAAAAAUUCAGUAAAGUAUACCCCCAAACCGUGAGUUUAUUGCUUGAAAUUGCGCAUGCGUCAGCCCGCGUUUUUGAGUGAGUGUGGACGACGCUGGAUCUUCUCACCGGCUGCCAUGAUCGAACAAACAGCAGAAAUUAAGGCAGAGUCUGUAUAUGUGGACACUCACUAUUUGCCCUCUCUACAGUUUCUCUUGUCUGUCCCCCACAAGCAGAGACCCACUGAUAGACCGCUGUUACCAGUUCUAGGGCUGACACAUCCGCACACGUCCACAUCACAAGUGUAUCCUGUAAAGAUCAAGGAGGAGCAUCACAACAGUUUCGUUGAAGUAGACAUUCUUGUGGAAGCUUGAUGAGUACACACCAGGUUUUGCAGCUAAUGCAUGCCAAAGGAGGAGCAGCUAGUUGCAAGAUGCAUCCUCUGCUGGACAGUUUAAAUACACAGAACAUUGAGGAAAAAAAGAGAUGCUGUUGUCUGCUGCCUCAAUAACUACCUUGGGGAAAGACAAGAAGAUAUGUUCCAUGACUGGCAGGAAUGUGAGGAGUACACAGACAAAACGAUGAAGGAGAUUGUGAAGCACAAUUUGUCUAUUGUGAUCGGGGGAAAACAAGUGAUGGAAGGAUGAGGAAGCCAAACAGAGGCAUGCAUACUGCUGGGACUCAUAUGCAAUUAACAUUGAAUAUCCAAAGGAGCUGAAAAACACGUUUGA
Molecule: non-coding RNA, 858 nt
Organism: Danio rerio (zebrafish)
Lineage: Eukaryota; Metazoa; Chordata; Actinopteri; Cypriniformes; Danionidae
Source: RefSeq, a predicted model, not a curated record